GAAAAAAAAAAAAAGGACAAGAUUUAAUUGGAUCUGGCUUCCAGUUUCAAAGGUUCAGUUCAUUAGCUUCGUGGGAAGCAUUGCAGCAUCCAGGCAUACAUAGUUCUGGAGAAGGAGCUGAGAGUUCUACAUCUUGAUUGACAGGUAGCAAAGAGGAGACUGUCUCAAUACUAGGUGUAGCCUGAGCAUAAAUGAGAUCUGAAAGUCCACCUCCACAGUAAGGGGCUUACUCCAACAAGGCCACACCUACUCCCAAACUACGCUACACCUCCUAACAGUGCCACUCCCUAUGGGGCAAGUAUUUAAACACCUGAGUCUAUGGGGCUCAUUCCUAUUCAAACCACCAUACCAUCCUUGAUAUCAGUGAUUGAGGCACUGCUGGGAAUCUCAUCUGACACCAAGUGAGUAAUUUAUUCUAGUCUUCGUUGAGAUACCCUUCAGAGAAUACAUGUCUCUGUUAACUAUUUGGUCCUUACCAGUUAUAUCUGGUGUCUGAAGUCUCCUGCCUUCUGAGCAUUAAAAACAGAUGAGGUCCAAAGAGCAGAGUUACCCCCCUCUCUCAACCCUUUCCAAGCUGUACGUGUCACUUCCUAUCUUGGACUGUUAGAUUCAAACUUAAGGACAAAGGCUGCCUUAGGCAAACACCAGGUGGAAUUUAGGAAAACACCCAGUUCCAGGAAAUGAGCUAACCAUUCUUAGCAGGGGUCCUUCACCACCUGCUCUGCAUGCCAAAGGUAUUUCCCCAAGGGCUUCCAAUGAAUUCAAAGGACAAUAGGCGGCCACCAAUGAAUUAAAAAAGUAAUAGGCCCCACCAAAGAGAAAUAACCAACUCAUGCUGUAACCUAAAGCCUACACCUGAAACAGUAUAAAGGGCGUGGGCCUUUGUUCUUCAGGGUCGCCUCUGUCCCGAGUACAGGGUCACCCCAGUGUACUGGAUUAUUAAACCUCUUGCUUAUUGCAUCGAUCUCCAUCUCCGUGUUUUCAUGAGUGGGACCUCCUGAACAUAGGGCUGAUCAGGUUCUACAGGACCACUCCCCAUCUUGGUAGAAAUUGAAAAGCUAAAUAUUUGGACUCCCCAUGGAUCUUCAUCUUCUGUGUGCCACUGGGACCUGGAAAGAAGAGAAUAUUCUUGACAGGUGAUGCUUGCCAAGAGGAAGAAGAGAGAGAGAAAAAGAAGAUCGAUAGAUCCUGUUAUGGAGGAAAAUGGGUCAAGAAACUCUCUGACUCUGGAGCAGGUCUCAAGUGAACUAAGAAGAGUUGUCAUAACUUGAUCGCCCUGACUCUGCACUGCUUUCCUAAGAACCAAUCAAUAGUUCAACACAAGAGGGACUUGCCAGAUUCAAGUCAUAACAGUUGUCAAGUACAAAUAUAAGAUUCUUGCUUUUGUAUUGUCAUCUGAGUAAGAAGUAAACCAUGU
RNAcentral lists this small RNA (1417 nucleotides) under Rattus norvegicus (Norway rat). RNAcentral describes it as "uncharacterized LOC108350981". Lineage: Eukaryota; Metazoa; Chordata; Mammalia; Rodentia; Muridae. The record is from RNAcentral.